Molecule: non-coding RNA, 264 nt
Organism: Vicia faba (fava bean)
Lineage: Eukaryota; Viridiplantae; Streptophyta; Magnoliopsida; Fabales; Fabaceae
Source: the annotation of a GenBank genome assembly
AUGCAAGGAUCAUGGUGUUCCGACGGGCUGAGGAUGGCUUCGUCGGUUGGUGAGCGCGGCAGAUAUAUAGCGGAGAGGCGCGGCUUUGUUGGUAGCCGGCGGUUCUGGGCUUGCGUGGAGGCUUCGCAUGUUGCCGGUUAUUGGCGACAGUGGUCGGGCUGUUGGCGGUGGAUCCAUUGCAAAUGGGCGGCAACGAGGUUGUGGUUUGCUGAUGGGGUGCGACGAAGGAAGCUUGAUGGCGGUUCCUGGAUUCACUGCUUCUAA